UGAAGACCAACGUGUCAAAAUCCUUUCCACGAAUUAUUUAGGAUUUCUCUUAUCCCGUGUAAUCUUCACUUCACGCAUACGAAAUAUUCUGCCCAAUGGCCUAGUCGUCCAUGCAGACAAAAAUGAUUGAUGUAACUUAUCUACAUUAUUACCAAAUGGUUUAUAUCACAUCAUGUGUUAACAUAACCCAUGCAGUGUUACUUCGUAUAUUGUACAUGCCAAUUUUUAUGGUCUCUAAUACUCUCAUCUGAUCAUUGCUACACACGACAUUCAAGUGCAGGGCAACAAUUCAUAAAAGUAAAUUAAAUAAAUUCAAAUUCAAAUUAAAUUUAUUUUUAAUUAAAAUUUAGAAUGAAUCUCGCAAUUUUAAUAAUUUCUGGCUGUGUACUAAUUAAUAUUGUUGCUUUGAUAAUUUACAUUAAGUUGUUCCGUGGCACUAACUGCAGAACAUGUCAAAAGGAAACGGGACGUGAUUCCACAAUUGAUGCUCCACUUCCACGGGAUCCUGCCAGGCCCUUAGAAAUUUGCAUAGUGCAGAACGAUCUCGUCCCAAAUUACGAUUCGGUCAUGUUUAGCUCAUAAUUCCGACUGCAUUUACUUUUCAGAGGGGUAACAUUAUCUUUAGUAGUGUAAAUCUAAAUAGAAGGAACCAAAUAUGUAGCGUUGGCUGAAGUACUGUGACAAAAACCUGUAUGUGAAUAAAUGAAUUUACGAGUAGGCUAAUACAUGAGGUGUAGAUCGAGGAUAUGUUCGAAUUUUGGUCACGCACUGACGACUUUAGUGACCCACGGAAGGGUCGCCUAUAAGCUUGUCGGAGGGGAGGUACCCUCACCUCGUUAUACAUAUUGCUAAUUGCAUCCUCUUACGAUGUGUCAUACAUAAUCAAUCCAGGAAAAUAAGAAGUAAGUAAAAUGAGUAAUAAACCGUUGCAAACGAAAUGUAGCAAUAGGAUGAAACCAAGUCGUGGACCCGUCUAUACGGUAACGGGGUCAUCGUACGUCGAAAUCAUUUCGAUUUUUGAAAUCCCCGCCCCAAAAUACGUUUAGAACGAUCGAAACGACGCAAUUAGACAAAUUUCGACAUUUUUUGACGUCUACACGGUCACACGGUCAUCGUCAGUCAAAAUAAUGUCGAUUUUUGAAAUCCUCGUCCCAAAAUAUGUCUAAGAACGUGGAAACAAAAAAUUCGACACCUAUUCGACACGGCGUCGUCCCCAUAUCGCCGUGACCUUACGACCUGCAACGCCCAUCUUCGAACUUGUGCGCACUUUUAAAAUCCGUUCAGUAGUUAGAGAGGGAACAGACGGACGGACGGACAGACGAACAGAGCAUUCCCAUUAUAGGGUUUCACCCUAUAAUAAAGUGCGGCAAAGCACGAUACAUAAGUAGCGCAAAAAUGCUGAGAAUGCUGGGCCGUGACCUUAGUCGCCAUAUUUCGACAUGUCGACAACACCGAAAAACAUGUUUUGCCCAAAUUGUGACCAUGCGACCACACCCCUGGCGCCGAGGGGGUAUGGCACAACUCAGAUACACGUAAUUUAACUGGAUUUCAUCCAUAGAUUAAUUUGCGCUAUAAAUCUCAUUUUGCCCCGAUCACACUGCGACCACACCCCCUGGCGCCGAGAGGGUGUGGUCCAAAAGUUUUCCGAAUCCUCCCCCUGGGGUCAUGUGUAUGAUGCCGCAAACCGAUUUCGAUUAUCUUGAUGCGUUCUCGAGUUAUAGUGUUGACGGACAGACAGACAGAUGGACGGACUAACUAACCGAUCGCAUAAAGUAGCUUGCGCUACUUAAUAAACUACGUCUUUACUUACAAUGCGAUGGUGUGAAGUGCAACUCUCGGAUUUGGCUGAAAUUUUAAAAUUGAGUUGUCCAAGUCAAUGCAACCAACCAAAGUUUUUCCAACUUUGAACUCUUUUGAGAAAUCCCAACCAUCACACAAACUGCCUCAAGAAACGUGCGUUGGAUUGACUUGGCCUACAUAAUUCCAAAAUUUCAGCCAAAUCCGAUAGUUGCACUUCACACCAUCGCAUUGUUAGUUCUGCUGUCCAUAAAUACUUGCAUAUUUAUGCAAACGUUUUAUUGCUAUGACGCUUCACCCCGCUAUCGGUGGAAUACUGCAUGUAUACGUACCAUCUAAAUGAGUAAAAGUAUGGUGUGCAUGAUAUCUCAAUCACUUAUAUCAAUUUAACAUGUUGGGUUCAGGUACUGAUAAAAGAAUAAACGGCGAUACAAUAAUGUAUCACAUCAACAUAUGACAUGGUUAUACCGAUGAAGUUGUAGCACUUAUAGCGUUCCAAAUAAUAAUAUUCUCAUCAUUGCAUCCAUAUCAUUGCUACAAGCGAAGUUCAAGUGCAGCGUACAAAUUUAUUUUAUUUAUAAUGAAUUUCGCCAUUAUAGCAAUUUCUGGGGUUGGAUUAAUUCUUGUUAUAGCUUUACUAAUUUACGUUAAGGUGAGGUUUCUUCUUGCAAUUGUACACUCUUAAAAAUAAUGUUACCCCUUCAAAAGUAACUCCAGCCCGAAUUCUGAAUUAAACAAACUGUACUAAAUCCAGAGUAACGUUAACCAGUUAAAGUGGAAAGUUUCCUCUCGAUUUUUUGUGGAUAUGUAGCAUUAACUGCGGAACGAAUCAAACGAAAAUCGGACCUGAUUCCACCCACAUCAUCGUUGAUUCUCCACUUCCAAGGGAUCAUGUCGUCGUAAUCAGUUCCACACAAAUUUGCAUAGUGCAAAACGAUCUGGCCCCAAAUUACGAUUCCGCCAUGUAUCGUGAUACCGUCAAAUCUCCAGAUAUUGCGGACGAAACUUGUCCGCCUCCAAGUUAUACAGAAUGCUUACAGAAUAAGACUUUGAACAGAUGACAAUUCCCUGCUGAUGUACUGUACAAAUUGUAUCAGAGAAAUAAAAAAAGCUAUUUAUAAACCACUAGCGUA
This is a long non-coding RNA of Folsomia candida, 2930 nucleotides long. RefSeq lists it as uncharacterized. Lineage: Eukaryota; Metazoa; Arthropoda; Collembola; Entomobryomorpha; Isotomidae. The transcript is spliced from 3 exons. The record is from RefSeq and is a predicted model, not a curated record.